RNAcentral lists this ribosomal RNA (163 nucleotides) under Lecaniodiscus fraxinifolius. RNAcentral's name for it is "5.8S ribosomal RNA". It matches the Rfam family "5.8S ribosomal RNA". From Rfam's summary of the family: 5.8S ribosomal RNA (5.8S rRNA) is a component of the large subunit of the eukaryotic ribosome. Lineage: Eukaryota; Viridiplantae; Streptophyta; Magnoliopsida; Sapindales; Sapindaceae. The record is from RNAcentral.
AUAACGACUUUCGGCAACGGAUAUCUCGGCUCUCGCAUCGAUGAAGAACGUAGCGAAAUGCGAUACUUGGUGUGAAUUGCAGAAUCCCGUGAACCAUCGAGUCUUUGAACGCAAGUUGCGCCCCAAGCCUUUAGGCCGAGGGCACGUCUGCCUGGGUGUCACG